CGGGUGAGUAACACGUGAGUGACCUGCCUUUUAGACUGGAACAACUUACCGAAAGGUGAGCUAAUGCCGGAUGAGUUAUAUAAGUGCAUGUUUAUAUAGGAAAAGUUGGGAGACCUGACGCUGAAAGAUGGACUCGCGUCCCAUUAGCUAGUUGGUAGGGUAAUGGCCUACCAAGGCGACGAUGGGUAGCCGGCCUGAGAGGGUGGCCGGCCCACACUGGGACUGAGACACGGCCCAGACUCCUACGGAAGGCAGCAG
RNAcentral lists this ribosomal RNA (258 nucleotides) under uncultured bacterium. Its description in RNAcentral is "partial 16S ribosomal RNA". It matches the Rfam family "Bacterial small subunit ribosomal RNA", at positions 103 to 354 of the family's 1533-position model. The record is from RNAcentral.